CGCCGCCAAACACCAAUGGCUGUCAUAGAGGAUCGACGGCGACGUAAAUACAACCUUUAAAAUCGGAAUAUCUAAACAACACGGCUUUUGAGGCCUCGAUGGAUGAUGUCUCCUCCGGAUCUGGCAUGGGUUAUGACACCUUUUACUUCACAUCAGAUGUAUCAAGAGAGUUAGAAAGCAUGUCACAUGGCUCAGCAAGAUGUAAUAGACCAGAAGAUGAGGAUCAAGUAAAUAUUCACCAGGAAAACAGUAUGGAAAAUUGGAUUACAAAUGAUGAGACUAAUAGUGACCAGAAAAAAUUUUGUGUCAUCGAUAAUCAUAUGGGAAUAGGAGACGAUUGGUUACAAGGCAGUGUACAUGUGAAUGAGAGGACAAAGUCCAGUGCAGAGGAUGAAGAUAAUUUUAGUGCAGGAGAUGAGGAAGAAAGGUACAAUGCUGAUGAUGAAGAUAAGUUUAGCACAGAGGAGGAAAUAAAAUACAGUGCAGAAGAGGACGACAUCACCUUGAGCACAGAGGAGGAAGCCAAGUAUAGUGCCGACGAGGACGAGGCAAAAUACUGCGUAGAAGACGUAAAAUCCAGCGGAGAGGAAGACGAAGUUAAGUAUAGCACCGAAGAGGACGAAACAAAGUACAGUGCAGACGAAGAAUGCAAAAUAAGUACAGAGGAGGAAGGCAAAUACAGUGCUGAUGAGUUAGAUGAUGAAUGGCUUGGAACACAAGGUCACGUGGAUGGUCAGUUUGAAGAGAGGGCCAAAGAAAGAUGGGUGGGUUGUUCUGAGUAUGGUGUAGGGAAUACUGAACAACAGUGGCAGAGCAGUAGUGAAGAGGUAGAACACUCUUCAACAGAAAGUGAAGUAGAAUUAAGUGAGGAGGAUCAAGAGGAAGUCAUAAACAAGGGUACAGGUGAUCUUCCUUCUACCUCAUCUGUUAGUUUUGGUGAAGCAACUGUUGCUCAGCCUGUGCUCUGUUUUGAUGAGUAUGGGAACUUAACCACAACGUAUCAUAGUCCAACAGUGAAUUUAGUUAAAAUGCCAAACUUGAGUACAGACAAAAUGUUGCCAGAAUCCAAAAAUAUUUCUGUGUCAUUACCGACAAAUGAACCGAACAAGAGGAAAAGUGGUUCUCCCUAUUGUGAGGAGUGUAUUGAGGAACCUUACAAUGGAGAAGUUAAAGCCUUGAGAAGUAGAUCAAAGGUUGGCCAGGAAAGUGGGGAAAAUGUAUUAUCUGACCAGGAAUUAAAACAAGCUUUCAAGGAAGAAUUCAUGACUGCUGCUACUAGUCGCUAUGGGAGAGCAAGGAAGCGUAAGACUGAAGAUGGGUUUUUCUUUGGGACCAUAAAUUUUAAUGAAUUAAGAAAAAUUACCUCAGGUAGUCCAAAGAAAAGCAAAGGCUCAAGUUCUAAGAAUUCCAGUCCAGAACAGAAAAUGAAGCACAUCACAAAAGAGGACCUUAAAGAUAAGCUCAAUGUAGAUCAAGUAAAUGAAGAAGUUAUUCAGAAUGGUACAGUCAAGUAUGAUGAGGGAGAAGGUGGAGAAAUAAGAGGGAAUAUUUCUUCAAGCAAAGUACAAAUAUCUGAAACCAAAGAUGAAAUAUUAGUACAAACCUCGAGUGUUGGGCAGAGUGAUAGUAGUGAUAAAGACUUAAGUAAGUAUAUUAGAAAUAAGCACGACACACACAGAGAUCUAAAGCUGAAGAACGACACAGCCUCUAAUGGUGGUUUUGGAAAGAACGCUAAUGUAGAGGAGCAGAUGAACAUGAAUUUUAAGCCGACAAACUUUGGCACACAAGAGGGUAAUUCAACAAAUGUGGAUACAACAGAAUCUGGUGACAGCAUUGAUGAUGUGUCGGAUAGAGCAAGCAUUUAUGACAGACGGAGGAGACUAAGCCUCCGAAAAAGAUCGUGCUCAGUAACGAGGGUUACUGAAUCACAUUCCAUUGUUAGCUCAGACAGGUUGCUUAGAGGAAGAUCCGACGUGUCCAGGAUAAAGCGUUCUCUCCAGGCAUGUGAGCAAGUGGUUCCUCAUAAGCGACCCAAAAAAACAAUCCCAGAAAUUGAGCCUCCGAUGUAUGUAUCAAAUUCAGUUUCAACGGAUUCUCAAGACUCUCAGGAGGAUCAUGGGGAAGAUCCAGAGUCAUUGACUAGACCUCCCUCCACCCGCAAAUCAUCUCAAGAGUUUAAAGCAGAGAGUGAAGAGCUCGCAUCAAUAACAAAAUCAGGAAGAAUAAUACGAAAACCCCAGCUGAUGGAUAUAUCAAAUGAGGACAAGCGGCAGAAGUUGUCAAGGGAACAGCAAAGACAAAGCGAAGCACUGCUCAGCUCAAGCCUAGAUGAGGAGUUUGCCCACUCUGGUUUAAACAUGCGUGCACUCGAACAAGAGAAUCCAUGUAAGCACUUGGUUGGUGACCUGGUGUGGGUCCACAUUCGGGGAAGUCCCUUGUGGCCUGCCAUGAUAUCAUACGAUCCAAUUCUUGGCCAGUUCAGCAAGAUAUCAUUGACACAGAAUUGGCAUAAGGUACGCAGUAUUCGCAUGUACCAUGUACAGUUCUUCAGUGACAACGCUUUGACCUACUGGAUUGCCCCAGGCAAUGUUCUGCCGUUUGAAGGUUUUGUGAAAUUGAAAGAAUUCCUCAGUGAACUAAAAUGCAAGUUGAAAGGGAUGAAGAGGUAUAAGCGACUGCAGACAGAAAGCCUCUUGAAAACAUUAGUGCAUAUGAACAAGAUAUCAUCUGGACAGAAGCAUGAACGUUGGAUUAAGGCCAUCGAGGAAGCAAAGGCUGCUUCUUCAAUGGAUAGGUAUGAAAGAAUACAAAAGUAUGCCUUAGAAAAUUCAGAGAUUGAAGAUAAGGAAGACAUACACAGAUUUGUUAAAUCAUCUCCAAGAAAUCUUUCAUUACUUAAAUCAAAGGAUCCAUCCUUUGAACCUAAACCAGAGAAGAGGAAAAGAGGUCGCCCUAGAAAAAUCUCACUCCAAAAUGAGUUGCCCAUCUUGAAAUCACUCAAGUCCAAUGGUGACUCAACAGAUGGGGAGUUCUCUGGUUUUGAUGAGAAUUCCUCUUGUGAAGAUAAGAAAAAAAAACUUAACAUUGUGUCCAAAUUGAGUAUGGAAAGUGACUUUGCUGUCUAUACCCAAAAACAUUUGGAAGAAUUCAUGUUAGAAAAUCCUGAAAUGUCUGCAGAAACAGCACAAAACAAAUUGAGAUGGAAAUGGAAGAAGAUGUCAAGUUCCCAGACUGCCAGAUACAAAUCUAAGUUUACGUGUGGGGAUAAGUACAUGUUAAAAGACCCAGAAGUGAAUAUGCUGAAGAGAAAACAUGACAUUCCUUUUGAGGAAGGUGAUGAGUGCGAAGAGAAUGAAGGACUUUCUGCUAAACGGCAGAGAACAGAAGAGGAAGUAGAGAGUAUACGUGGUGUUUACAAAGUAGUGCGUAAUGAGAAAGUGUGUUACCGGUGUGAGAGUGUAAGUAACAAGGCUGGGGCUGAUAUGAUCCGUUGUAAAGGACUUUGUUGUGGUGUUUUUCAUCUUAGCUGUUUAGGUUUAACUGCUAUGCCAAAAAGGGAUUUUAAAUGUGAAGAAUGCCAAACUGGGCAACACCCAUGUUUCCUGUGCAAAUCAUUUGUUGGUGUAGUGCAGAGAUGCACUGUGCCUUUCUGUGGCAAGUACUAUCAUGAGGAGUGUGUUCAGAAGUGGCCUCAAGUCUCCAAACAGCGGCAACAGGAGAGGUUUGUGUGUCCACGUCAUGCUUGUCACAUGUGCGCUGCAAAUGCUGAUGAUAUGGGUGACCCAGUGGCAAGAAACCCACCCUUUACCCGCUGUCUGCGAUGUCCAACUACGUAUCACACAGGUGAGGAUUGCAUAGCUGCAGGCACAGAAGAAGUAUCACAGAACCACCAUAUAUGCACCAAGCAUCUUCAGCUCCCAAAGAAUGGCACUCAUCAUGUCAAUGUUAACUGGUGCUUCUGCUGCUCGAAGGGUGGUUCACUUCUUCUCUGUGACCAGUGUCCAGCAGCCUUCCAUGCUGACUGUAUGAAGAUAACUGCUCCAGAAGGUGGUUAUGUCUGUGAAGAUUGUGAAUUUGGAAAAUUUCCCAUCUAUGGUGACAUUGUGUGGGUGAAGCUUGGAUUGUACAGAUGGUGGCCUGGUCAAGUCUUGCAUCCAAGAUUCAUCCCAGACAACAUUGAGAAUUUACAGCACCAGCAGGGCAUGUUUUGUGUUCAUUUCUUUGGCUCCAAUGACUACUAUUGGGUUACCAGAGGACGAGCUUUCCUUUAUCAGGAAGGGGAUAAAGGAUCAAGGGCACAGUCGAGUAAAACAUUAGAAAUGCAGUUCCGGCGAGCACUUGAAGAGGCAGCUGAAGCAUACAGAGCCCAGAAGACAAAGAAAACUCAGCGAGAGAUCCGAUGGUCUGAGAAGGGCAACCUGAAACCACCACCAUAUGUUAGGAUUGAUUCCAACCGUCCUGUAGGCAACAUACGUCUUAGCAAGUUGGACCUAGCAGCUGUUAACCGUUGUGAUUGUGAUCCAUACUCUGAGAAUCCAUGUGGCUCUGAUGAGAAGUGCUUGAACAGAAUGCUCAUGUUUGAGUGUGUCCGUGAAGUUUGUGGAGCCGGGGACAGGUGUGGUAACCAGAGGUUUCAAAAACGCCAGUAUCCCAAUGUGUGCUCCUUUAGGACAGAGAGUAGAGGAUGGGGUCUCAAGACAAACCAGGACGUUAAAAAGGGAGAAUUUGUGAUUGAAUAUGUAGGAGAGCUGAUCGACGAUGAAGAGUUUCAUCGUCGUAUUUUAGAAAUGCAUGAAGUAAAAGAAGAGAACUAUUACUUCCUCACCAUUGAUAAGGAUAUCAUGAUUGAUGCCGGUCCUAAGGGGAACUUAGCCAGGUUCAUGAACCAUUCAUGCCAACCAAACUGCGAGACUCAAAAAUGGACAGUUGGUGGGGAUACGCGAGUGGGACUAUUUGCAAUUGAGGAUAUUCCUGCUGGUUUUGAACUCACUUUUAACUAUAAUUUGCAAUGUGUGGGGACAGAAAAGAAACGAUGUUGCUGUGGUGCUCCAAACUGCAGUGGCUUCAUUGGGGUCAAAGUACAAAAGAAAGGGAGAAUAAUAGUAGUACCAGAACCUUUCACCAUUGAAGGUGACUGACUACAAAGGCUUAGGUCACCAAGCAAAAGCUCCAGAGCAAGCAGACGUUCCCGCAUCUGGAUAACCUGCCAAACGGCUGAAGUGUCAGGUCCAAAGAGAGAAAAAUUGGGUAAACAAAGACGAAAGCGUCGGCGACGUGAAGCCAAAUUGUCUGAAGAUGAAUGCUUUAGAUGUGGUGGCCCUGGUGAUCUGAUUCUUUGUGAUGUUGUUG
This 5349-nucleotide unclassified non-coding RNA is filed under the name Homarus americanus (American lobster). Its description in RNAcentral is "histone-lysine N-methyltransferase NSD2-like, transcript variant X3". The record is from RNAcentral. Lineage: Eukaryota; Metazoa; Arthropoda; Malacostraca; Decapoda; Nephropidae.